AGUGGGGAAUCUUGCGCAAUGGGCGAAAGCCUGACGCAGCAACGCCGCGUGCGGGAUGACGGCCUUCGGGUUGUAAACCGCUUUCAGUGGGGACGAAAUCAGACGGUACCCACAGAAGAAGCCCCGGCCAACUACGUGCCAGCAGCCGCGGUAACACGUAGGGGGCGAGCGUUGUCCGGAAUCAUUGGGCGUAAAGAGCUCGUAGGCGGCUCAGUAAGUCGGGUGUGAAACCCCCAGGCUCAACCUGGGGACGCCACUCGAUACUGCUGUGGCUAGAGUCCAGUAGGGGAGUGUGGAAUUCCCGGUGUAGCGGUGAAAUGCGCAGAUAUCGGGAGGAACACCAGCGGCGAAGGCGGCACUCUGGGCUGGAACUGACGCUGAGGAGCGAAAGCGUGGGUAGCAAA
This 404-nucleotide ribosomal RNA is filed under the name uncultured bacterium. RNAcentral describes it as "bacterial SSU rRNA". It matches the Rfam family "Bacterial small subunit ribosomal RNA", at positions 353 to 772 of the family's 1533-position model. The record is from RNAcentral.